This 163-nucleotide ribosomal RNA is filed under the name Genista cf. monspessulana AK-2011. RNAcentral describes it as "5.8S ribosomal RNA". It matches the Rfam family "5.8S ribosomal RNA". From Rfam's summary of the family: 5.8S ribosomal RNA (5.8S rRNA) is a component of the large subunit of the eukaryotic ribosome. Lineage: Eukaryota; Viridiplantae; Streptophyta; Magnoliopsida; Fabales; Fabaceae. The record is from RNAcentral.
AAGACUCUCGGCAACGGAUAUCUCGGCUCUUGCAUCGAUGAAGAACGUAGCGAAAUGCGAUACUUGGUGUGAAUUGCAGAAUCCCGUGAACCAUCGAGUCUUUGAACGCAAGCUGCGCCCGAAGCCAUUAGGCUGAGGGCACGCCUGCCUGGGUGUUGCACAU